This 468-nucleotide ribosomal RNA is filed under the name uncultured bacterium. Its description in RNAcentral is "partial 16S ribosomal RNA". It matches the Rfam family "Bacterial small subunit ribosomal RNA", at positions 28 to 507 of the family's 1533-position model. The record is from RNAcentral.
GACGAACGCUGGCGGCGUGCUUAACACAUGCAAGUCGAACGGAAAGGCCCUGCAUACGUGGGGUGCUCGAGACGCGAACGGGUGAGUAACAAGGGAGUAGCCUGCCCUGGGCAUUGGGAUAAAUUCAGGAAAAUGGGGCUAAUACCGGAUAAGUGCUCCUGCUGCAAGGCGGGGGUUGAAAAGUUUCGGUGGUUGGGGAUGGACUCGCGUCUUAUCAGCUUGCUGGUGGGGUGGUGGCUUACCACGGCAUUGCCGGGUAGCCGGCCUGAGAGGGUGAGCGGCCACAUUGGGACUGAGAUACGGCCCCGACUCCUACGGGAGGCAGCAGUGGGGAAUAUUGCACAAUGGGCGGAAGCCUGAUGCAGCAACGCCGCGUGCGGGAUGACUGCCUUCGGGUUGUAUACCGCUUUCGCCUGUGACGAAGCGUGAGUGACGGUAAUGGGUAAAGAAGCACCGGCUAACUACGUG